This is a long non-coding RNA of Tympanuchus pallidicinctus (lesser prairie-chicken), 516 nucleotides long. RefSeq lists it as uncharacterized. Lineage: Eukaryota; Metazoa; Chordata; Aves; Galliformes; Phasianidae. The record is from RefSeq and is a predicted model, not a curated record. The transcript is spliced from 3 exons.
GAGACGUUUAGGCUUAGUGACAGCUUCUGGCUUAUGGAUCUCAGCAGUAACUCCUUUCGUUCCCAUCUCCCUGGCCUUGCCAGCAGGUCUGCAUGGACUGCACCAGUCGCUUGAGAUCUUCCCCUACAGAAGCUCAGAAGUGACAACAUUCCUGACCCAAACAGCAGCUCAUCCUGGAGUAACUCCUGAACACAACCAGUUCUCCUCUGUGUGGAUUUGGCGUCAGCAGUGGCUCUGCAAUAUUGGAUCUGAUUCUUCAUCUUCUACCUCAAGUUCUAGUGUAAUUCAGGACACCAAAAAGCAUGUGACCACUCCUUUCAAAACAAAAUACAUUAGAAGAAAAUAUGCUUACACAAUUAAAGACAGUAAAUGUCAAGUGACAAUUCUGGAUAAAAGUAUACUACAAUUUGGAGGCGAGCUUUUGGGGCACUCCUUUCUCAGAGCAACGUGGCCGUGCCCUGCGCAUGUUGCUGUUAUCAGCAGCACUGCAGUGAGAUGCCCAAGGCCAUGAGGCAC